GCAAUUCAACAUUAUCACCUAUUUCUUUACAUUGCAUGCCACAGAAGCACAAUCCUAUUUCUUUACAUCCACCCUUUCCUUUAAUACUUGAAACUGAAAAUGAAAUUCCAUUAAUGCUUUGUUCAAGAACAACUACGAUUGAUCCUUGAGAAAUGUGCAGGUACAUAGGCCGAAACUACACUUACUAUUUCCUAUCACCAUAUCAUUCAUUAAGGAAAUAUUCGCUACAUAAGCUUGACCCAGCCAAAUGACUAACAAACAUGUAGCCAUGGCCAAUACAGCAUGAAUUAGUCAGGAACUUCUCAGCACAAACUCUUAUCUAUUUCACACUUCUCCUCUGGACUCUAUAAAUUAAAAUAUCAGAAAUGCAUAUGCAAAGGCAGUGGAAGCAAAGAGAACUUAUAUUUGAAGGAGGCACAACGAAUCCGCAGCACGCUCCAUAAGCAACUACAAGCCGACGGAGCGAACAACAACAGGUUGGACCGAUGGACGACGACGAAAAAAGCAGAGGCCUACAGGAGGAAAAAUGCAGCAGUCAGUGAGCUCGUAAAUCCAAAACAUAGCAAAUAAUGGUGACGGUGACACCUCAGCCAAACGGUUCCAUGGAAAGUCAACCCAAAGCGAGACUAUAUACUUAAUAUCGUCGUGCAUAUACUUAAUAUCCUGAUGACACUAUAUCCACACUACUUGAGAAAGUAAAGAAUCAAGCGAGACUAACAGAGAAGUUGUAGAGUUCUACAGUUUCCACUUUACAAUACCAAAAAACAAUAUAGCUCUUUUGCAAGUAAUUACAUGACAUGAUGGUCUACAGCUACAAGAAGGCUGGGUGAAGUCUAUGAUGGGUUCUUUUCCAAGCAAGGAGAAGGCCAAGGUGACGCUGGUCUACAGCUACAGGAACGUCAUCAGCAGGUUCACGCCGAAGCUCACGCCCGCGCAGGUCCCCGUGUUGAGGAGUGAGUUCCCCUCUUGCUACUCUGCUUUGCUCUCACAGUCAACUGAAUCCCUUUAAUUAGCAGUAAAACUACAGUUGCAAGAGUUUUUUUAAUUGCAUGAUGCACAGCUGAUGGUCAACUAAGGCAAACCCAUAGUAUAAUUGUUAAGAUCAAAUUGGCAAUUUUUCUCGGAUCUGUUGUCAAUACCGAGGUCGGUGCAAGGGCUACACACAUGGCUAAUAUGCUAAUUCUUGUCGCCAGAAAACCAAGAAAGGUGUACCAUGAGCAAGGAUCGACAUUACAAAUGUAUACACUAUUAUGUAUAAAAGGCCAAUGGCUCCAGCAACUAUAGCAAUUAAACCGUAAACACCAAGGAAAGAAGAGAAUGAUUUUUAUUCAGCCGUUAUGUAAAAAAAGCAACCAAAUAGUUGCUGAACCUAGCCUUGUUAUGGUACCUAUUCAAACUAAACGAAGUACAAGCAAAUUUAUCGAAAGUAGAACGCACACAACUGCUUGAACAACUCUAGCAGCCUGUGAUAUGCAAAUCAGGAUACCUCACAAAAUAUUCUCAGAAUGCAUUGAUCAAUGUCUAUGCAAACCAAACAAAGGCGGCUUCUACACUAUGGAUCAGGAAAUAUUGACUGUUUAACUUAGUCAGGCCAAAGCCAUUGCCAAGACUCCUCAGAUUUAUUCCUUAAUAGUUCCAUAUGUCCAGAAAAUAAAAUACAAUACCAUCAACUCCAGUUCCACAAACUGUUAUUGGGACAUAUGCACAAUUUUGAAACUGAGUAUACAUACCAGUUCUAACCACAUAUAGUUGUUCUUAGUCCAAGCUCAAAUGUACCCAUGUUUACAUGGGUAGUGUGGAUAUUUAAUAUCAACAGGACAACAUCACAUUUUAUCUGCUGACCAAAGCACAACAGGUCAACCAAAGUACAACAGGCAAAGCUUGAAUUUAAAAGAAUUAUACACAAACCGAUCUCGCAUAUAAUUUGGCUCAGUGUAUCCAUGUUUACAACUGAUUAGCUGAAUAUAUUGGGCUGGGGUACCAAGGCUAAUUAGUUACGUGAUUCCUAAUCAGGAAGCCUACUCACAUGUAUUUUUAGAAAACAAAUAUAUCAGCAUGUUUAAAUGUGAACGAUGGAGGAAGUAAAAGCAACGAGAGAGGAGCUAUGUUUUUAAGGCGACGCCUUACCGCCUUAGGGAGGGGGGGCGCUUUGGCGCCUAGGCGACGCCUAGGCGGGCGCUUUGGACGCCUAGGCGCCCAAAGCGGAGGGGGAGCGCUUCGACGCCUAGGCGUCGCCUAGGCGUCGCCUUAGGGACGCCUUUAAAACAUAGGAGAGGAGCACCUCGGCAAUAUUGGAGGAAGUGGUGUUCCACUCCUAGGGUCCUAGCGCUCCUGUAGCCGACCCCUCAUCCAUGAGAUGAAGCAACAUAGAUUGGGUUUAGAAGCAACAGAAUCACACAAACAUAU
This 2406-nucleotide long non-coding RNA is filed under the name Triticum aestivum (bread wheat). Its description in RNAcentral is "long non-coding RNA (TAES_LNC020764)". The record is from RNAcentral. Lineage: Eukaryota; Viridiplantae; Streptophyta; Magnoliopsida; Poales; Poaceae.